CUCUAUAUUAAGUAAAGUUGCUCUACAUUAGUUAAAGUUGCUCUACAUUAGUUAAAGUUGCUCUAUAUUAGGUAAAGUUGUUCUAUGUUAUUUAAAGUUGCUCUACAAUAGUUAAAGUUGCUCUUUAUUAGUUAAAGUUGCUCUAGAGGAUUUAAAGUUGCUCGAUAUUAGUUAAAGUUGCUCUACAAUAGGUAAAGUUGCUCUAUAUUAAUUAAAGUUGCUCUACAAUAGGUAAAGUUGCUCUAUAUUAAUUAAAGUUGCUCUACAAUAGGUAAAGUUGCUCUAUAUUAAUUAAAGUUGCUCUACAAUAGGUAAAGUUGCUCUAUAUUAAGUAAAGUUGCUCUACAUUAGUUAAAGUUGCUCUAUAUUAGUUAAAGUUGCUCUAGAGGAUUUAAAGUUGCUCUAUAUUAGUUAAAGUUGCUCUACAAUAGGUAAAGUUGCUCUAUGUUAUUUAAAGUUGGUCUAGAGGAUUUAAAGUUGCUCUAUAAUAGUUAAAGUUGACAUAAAACGAAGCAAAAGCUCCAUAAAUAAACUCCAGUUUUCAACCCGC
Molecule: long non-coding RNA, 550 nt
Organism: Acanthochromis polyacanthus (spiny chromis)
Lineage: Eukaryota; Metazoa; Chordata; Actinopteri; Pomacentridae
Exons: 7
Source: RefSeq, a predicted model, not a curated record